This 1920-nucleotide long non-coding RNA is filed under the name Homo sapiens (human). RNAcentral's name for it is "long independently transcribed non-coding RNA 1013, transcript variant 7 (LINC01013)". The record is from RNAcentral. Lineage: Eukaryota; Metazoa; Chordata; Mammalia; Primates; Hominidae.
ACUAAAUUCUCACCUAAAGUUGAUACUAAUAUUACAAUAACUCUCUUGUGCCCUAUUUUGGUGUUUUAAACUUCUUUGCUGUACAUUUAAGAAAAUCAGAAUUUCAGUAGACUCCUCGUGCAGUCUGAGGAGGCAGUUUCCUAUCUGGUUUGACUUAAGGGGCUGCAGAAGACAUUCUUAUCCCACAUAUUUCUUCUGCUGAUCAGUCAGCAACUGAAAUUCCAACUAAUGGAUUCCAUUCUUCCAGUUAAGACAUCAUCUCCAGAAAACUGUGCUAGUUGGCAUCCAGCAGUGCCCAAGUAUUAUUUAACCCACUAGAACCUGUGACUGCAUCAGCUUUAUAUCCUGGACCUCAGCCUGGAACAAAGGAGAGCUACACUUGGAUACUAAACACAAGUGGUCUGGAUAGAUUAUGCUGGGAAAAGAAGCCUGGAGCAGGCAGUACAGUGGGAGAACAAGAUGGAGUUUUGCUCUUGUCGCCCAGUCUGGAGUGCAAUGGCAUGAUCUUGGUUCACCGCAAUCUCUGCCCCCAGGUUCAAGGGAUUCUCCUGCCUCAGCCACCUGAGUAGUUGGGAUUACAGGCAUGUGCCACCAUGCCUGGGUAAUUUUGUAUUUUUAGGUGAGAUGGGGUUUCUCCAUGUUGGUCAGGCUGGUCUCAAACUCCUGACCUCAGGUGAUCCACCCGCCUCGGCCUCCCAAAGUGCUGGGAUUACAGGCAAGCCACUGCACCCAGCCAUAAUGAUCUUCUUUUUAAAGUACUAUAUAAGCAUCUUAGUACUUAACAUCUUUAUUGUCUAUAUCAAACUCUAAAACCAAGCUCCAUGAAGGCAAGGAUUUGUCUUCAAAUCUUUUGCUCUCUGUUACUUCCCCCAGCAUCUAAGUACUGCUUAGCACUUACAGCUUUUCAAGAAAUAAUUGCUGAGUAAAUAAAAGAACUAAUGAGUUUUGCUUUCUAAAUUUUUUAUUCUUGAUUGAAUAUUAUUAAAUGAUUUGAGACUGACACAUCUAGUUUUUAAUUUGAUGAUUAUUGUUAAGUUUUACAAAAACAGACUUCAAUGUAUAUUUUGAAAAUGAAUUCAAGAAUAGCAUUUUCUACAAAUGGCCAAGAGACAUAUGAAAAGAUGUUCAACAUCACUAGUCAUCAGAGAAAUGCAAAUGAAAACCACAAUGAAUCUCACACCCAUUAGAAUGGCUGUUAUCCAAAAAGCAAAAGAUAAAAAGUGUUGGCGAGGAUCUGGAGAGAAGAGAACUCUUGUACACUGUUAGGGGGCAUGUAAAUGGGUGCAGCUGCUUCGGCCGCUAUGCAAAACAGCAUGGAGGCUCCUCAAUAAAUUAAAAAUAGAACUAUCAUAUGAUUCAGCAAUCCCACUUCUGUUAUUGAUCCAAAAGAAUUGAAAGCAAGAUCUCUAAAAGGUAAUUGAACUCUCACGUUCACUGUGGCAUUAUUCACAAUAGCCAAGACAUGUAAUCAAUCUAAAUGUCCAUCGACUGAUGAAUGGAUAAAGAAAUGUGAUAUAUAUAUACAAUGGAAUAUUAUUUAACCUUAGAAAAGAAGUAAUACUGCCUUUGGUGACAACAUGGAUGAACCUGGAAGACAUCAUGCUAGUGAAACAAGCCAGGCACAGAAAGACAAAUAUUGUAUGAUUUAAGUUAUAUGUGGAAUCUAAAAUAGUCAAACUCAUAGUAAUAGAGAAUAGAAUGAUGGUUACCGGGAGUUGGAGGGGGUGGUGAGAGAAAUGGGAAGUUAUUGCUCCAAGUGCACAAAGUUUCUGUUAUAUACAAUGAACAAGCCCUGGAGAUCUACUGUAUAGUGUAGUGUCUAUAGUUACAAGUACUGUAUUAUAUACUUAAAAAUUUGGUAAGAGGAUAGAUCUUAUGUUAAGUGUUCUUAUCACAAAUAAUAAAGAGGGUGAGAGAAAA